GAACAGUUCUUGCCCAGCUCUGUAGGGGGUCAUGAGGACUUGCUGAUGCUUACUUUGCUUGUGUCUAUCUGGACUGUGUGUCCUGGGUGAAUUGUAUGUAAAAUAUCAGUAUGUCAUUUUGACGUAUGAUCUUUUGUCUCGAAAUUGUAUAGGACUGUGCCUUCUACUUCUAGCAGGUGGAAUAGUUCUCAGAGCUCUCUAAGAAUCUGCUUCCUGGGUUACAAUCUUCAAUCCUUUCUAAGAAUCUGCUUCCUGGGUUACAUUUGAAUAAAAUCCCCCCUUCCCUCACCCUUAACUUGAUAGUCAAUUGAAUUUGUCAACAGGACAGUACCUGUCACUACUGAAGGCUUGACUCAGUGCUCCCUAGAUAACCCUAAAUUGUUCCUCUGGAGAAGAAUUUCCAUUUCUCUGGUAAAUGUGUCUACAGUUCUUAAGGUGAUCUCAUCCAUGCUAAACAAAUGGCUCUCGUUGAACUAUAAGCAAGGGUCAGCAGGGCUGUGUUCUCUUCUGGAGGCUCCAGGAGAGAAUGUUUUUAGGAGAGAAUGUUCUUAGAUGUUUUUAGAAUGUUUUCCAGGAGAGAAUGCUCCAAGCUUUUAUAGUUUUUAGAGGCUGCUUGCAUUCCUUGGCUUAUGGCUUUUUCCUUCAUCUUCAAAGCCAGGAACGGCCCACUGAGUCUUUCUCCCAUCUCAUCACUCUGACUCUGACCCUCUUGCCUUCCUCAGGACACUUGGGAUUAUACUGGGCCCACCUGGAUAAUCCCUCCAUCUCAAGAUCAGCUGAUUAGCAAACUUAAUUCUAUCCACAAACUUCAUUCUCCCUUGCCAUAUAACAUAACACAUUCACAGGUUCCUGAGAUCAGGAUGUGGAUCCACUUGGGGGCCGUUAUUGUACCUAUCACAGGAAGAUACAGGACUCUGAUCUGACCCAACAUCCACAUAUCCUCCAGCAAGCCAUCCCUGAUCCUCCAAAACCAGGUUAGGGGACCUGCUCAAUGGCCCAUGGGUUAUGUCCAUCACUCCUCCCCUAGGGUUGCGCUUGCUCAGUGGUCUGUAUCUUUGAGAAGAGUAACUGCCUUUUUCACUCUUGAUUAUCUGUCUCUUCACUAGAAUGUAAGCACCACAUGGUCAAGAAUCUUUGUUUUAUUCUAUAUGAAAAAUGAUACAAGUAAAACCUUUAGAUAUAUACAAUCCACUCAUUCAAUAUAUAUGUUGAGUGAAAGAACUGUAUUCCCAUCACCUAACUUGGUCUCUAGCACAGAGUAGAUAGAUGCUUAAUGCUGCUGCUGCUUGGAGAUGGCAAUGGCACCCCACUCCAGUACUCCCCAACUCCCGGAGCUUGCUCAAACUCAUGUCCAUUGAGGCUCCAGGAGAGAAUGUUUUUAGGAGAGAAUGUUCUUAGAUGUUUUUAGAAUGUUUUCCAGGAGAGAAUGCUCCAGGCUUUUAUAGUUUUUAGAGGCUGCUUGCAUUCCUUGGCUUACGGCUUUUUCCUUCAUCUUCAAAGCCAGGAAUGGCCCACUUCCACACCAGGGAAGCCUGGUGUGCUGCAGUCCAUGGGGUUGCAAAGAGUCAGACACGACUGAGCGACUGAACUGAACUGACUGUGCAAAAGGACUCACAUACAUUAUCUUGCCUGAUUCACACAACUCAUGAGGAAGGAGCUAUUUUUCCUCCAUCCUAUACAGAUGGGACACUGAGGUUAUAGAAGUUCAUUAUUUUGCCCAUAGUCAAAUGGCCUAAGAGGGAGUUGAACUUGUCAAGACUAAAAUUUUCUGUCUCUGCAUAUACUAAGGAGAAGGCAACGGCACCCCACUCCAGUACUCUUGCCUGGAAAAUCUCAUGGAUGGAGGAGCCUGGUAGGCUGCAGUCCAUGGGCCUGGUGGGUCACACAGAGCUGGACAUGACCGAAGUGACUUAGCAGCAGCAGCAGCAUAUGCU
Long non-coding RNA from Bos taurus (domestic cattle), 1934 nucleotides. The record is from Ensembl. Lineage: Eukaryota; Metazoa; Chordata; Mammalia; Artiodactyla; Bovidae.